GUAAUUAGCCAUCGGGCCUGUGCUAAGGAGGCAGGUUGAAAGUCAAGAGAAGGCAGUAAGGCCUUGUAGAUUUCCACCGAGGACACCAAAAAUAAUCUGAUGACAGAUGAUGUCAGUGAUCUAUCAGUGAAUCUCUUCUAUUAUCGGCAGCAUCCAACAACCAGAGGGUUCCAAAAACAGGCGAAGACCGUUGUCACACCUUCACGUGUAAAGGCUGCAGAGCCGCAUCUGCUGCACAGACCGAAAUAUUUUAAGGGAAGAUGAGAAAGAACCAGAAUUUAGGAAAGCUGAGACGUGCGCAGCCUGUUUCACUUCAUUUGGCUCCUAAUGAAGUAAACGGUGGUUUUCCUGGUGACGGCAAUGGAAACUGAACGGGCUGCUCAAAGGUCUGCUCCUCCGGCGUAACUGAUUUUAACCAGGCUGGUAUUCAACAAAAGAAGAUGGUUACAAGGAAACGGGAAUUGGCUAAAAACAAAAAACACCAAAAGACAGUGAAAGAAAAAAAAAAAAAGAGCAAAAAGACGACUGUCUAUUAUAGAACAAAAAGAAGACCUCUGGAAAAGGAAAAUGACUGCAGAGCCAUGGACUAAUUUGGAGUGCCGUUAUUUGUUCUUUGGAUGCAGUGGAAGUCCUUCAUUAAGGACCCACGUAAUUCAACUCCACCAGCAGGAGAGAACCAAAGCAAGAGAGCACUGCAUGAGAAACAAGGCAGGGGGAUCAAAAUAAAGAAAAAAGAGGCAAAGUCUGAGCAGGAGAUACUAAACAAUGUUAUACUAGUCAAUUUUAAGCCAGAGAAACUGGUAUUAUGCACCUUUCAAAAGUGAAGGGACCUCUCCCUUCCACCCAGCUGAGAAGUAGCAAGUAUAAAGACAUAAAGCAAACAAGUUACUUCAUUGGCAGCAAGAAAAGGGAUAAAAGCUGAGCUCAACUAUCCUUUCUUUCAGUGAGAAACAAUAGUGAUCCUUUCCGCUUGUUCAGUAAUUCCCAGUUACAGGAUUUACAACUAUCUUUGGGAUUGAAAGUCCCAGUGAAAUUCUAAAGUAGCUCCUCCUCAAGUUAUUAAGGGAGGACAGACACAAAGUCUGGUCACGUUAACCUUAAUUCUGUAGGAAAUAUAUUAUAAACCAGGGUGGAAGUAAGGCUUAGAAAAAAGAAGCACACAGGGAUACCAAAAGAAAGCAUCCAGCUUGGAGUCUUCUGGGCACGCAUGCCUUGGGUACGCAAGCUCCAACACUUACGGAAAGAAUAGAAGGACCAGAGUUGUCGAGAUUAUCUAUGAACUUGGUGUAAAGGAAUUAGAUACAAACAUGAUAAAGCAGCAUAACUUCUAUGUUUUUUUUCAGUCCUAGACUUCUUGAAACUACCAAGAAGGUUGCUGGGAAUGGUUCCUUGUGAGGAAGAUACUUAGACCAGUUUACUAAUUUCUUCUCUCAUUGACACAGAAUGAGGACGUUUUCCUGCUCUUUCCUUCACCUUCUCCCUCUCAUCUCCCCUCUUUGCCAACCUUCUUUGCCUUUCCUUCUUCUUUAUUAUUGAUUCAGGUCGAAUGUGAAUGGCAGUCAUUUAUAUGUGAUAACACAUAUAACAUCUCUCAAGAUAAUUCUGUACACAUUUUUUAAUUGUUUUAAUUUAGUUCAGCUAACUCCCCCUAUGCUUUUUACGCUCUAAAAUUGAUUAGAGAUUUCACUGGAGAAUACAGAAUGGCAUUCUGAAAGUACCUUAAAAAUGAGGAAAAGUAUUCUAGGCUUAUUUUACAAGCUUACAUAGCAUUUAAAUGCACAUUUGAUAUUGUCUUUGUUCACAGAGAAUAUUUCACAUUGCUGAGGUUUAUAACUUUCCUUCAUAGGAAGAUGUUUGAUUAGUCAAUAAAAUUUUAGAAAAGCUUGAAUUUCUAUAAGAUAUAAAAGCCAUUAAAAUCCUCCUCUUAUAUUGCUGCAGGUGAAUUUGUUCUUGCAUGCAAGGCAUCCUAAAUCUGCUUAAGUAGACUCUUUUGGGGUACUUAUACAGUAUGUGUAUUUGUUGCCCUUGAGAAAAACAGGAGGAUAUGGUAAACCAUUGGACGCGUGUACAGUUCAACUUUAGCCAAGGAUCAGUCAACCUAUAAUUACUCUUCGUAUUUUAAAAUACAGUUGUGUCUAUUAAAAUAAAUGCAGACACUGACCUUAAUUAUGAUUUUGUACGGCUUUAUUUAACCUGUAUUUUGAGUAGUUUAAUUAGUACAACGAUUUUCUCUUCUUUCUUUAUACCCAUUAGCUAUAAUGUUUUAUAAAUAGCCCUAAACAAAUGUACAGCUUAGCCCUACCUGCAUGGAGACAUUGCAGAAUUCCUUGCUAAGAUGCACAUUUUGGUUUAGCACCUGCUUAAGCAUAAGCCUGAUUUAAGCAGGUUUUGUCAGGCUUUGUCUCUUCACUGAAACUGAGAUUAAUUAACAUGCAUGUUUAAUUGUUUUGCUUAGUUCUCCCACAGAACAUGUGGUAAGUACUCACAGUGGUUCAGCCUACAGUUCACGGACACGGAGCCAGGAACGGGACGUAGGGAAGACACCUGUGCGUUCAUUCAUCUGAAGGGGCCUUGGGGGUAACCAAGCCCAUUGUCAUGGAUGGCCAGACCUCCACUAGAAAUUUCUGAGGUUUCCAGGUGAAACCCUGAAAAGCUGAAAGAGCUGGAAACCACCGAGCUAUUUCACAUGUAAUCACAUUGUUAUCAGAUUACAUUAUGCUCCGCACCACUCCCAGGUUGGAAAAAAUAGGGGUUAGGGAGCCAGGAACUAGGUUAUCACAUGGAAUGUGUCAAAUAAGUGUCACUGAUUGGUAACCUGCUAGAAAAUUAAGCCAUAAAACUGCAAUGAGCAUUGAGGCUUUUACACUGCUAUCUUACGUAGCUUUCAAAAUAUACUUGAAAAAGCUAUAACCUAUUAUUCUGUCAAGCAACUUGCACAAGAGAAGAGUUUUUACCAUUCCAACAGCAUACCAGGUAGUAUCCAUCUUAAGGAAAUUUGUAAACUGUCAAGAUUUUUAUAAAAUAAUCUAU
Long non-coding RNA from Chroicocephalus ridibundus (black-headed gull), 3030 nucleotides. RefSeq lists it as uncharacterized. The record is from RefSeq and is a predicted model, not a curated record. The transcript is spliced from 4 exons. NCBI's taxonomy places the organism in Eukaryota, Metazoa, Chordata, Aves, Charadriiformes, Laridae.